This 258-nucleotide ribosomal RNA is filed under the name uncultured Chytridiomycota. RNAcentral's name for it is "partial 18S ribosomal RNA". It matches the Rfam family "Eukaryotic small subunit ribosomal RNA", at positions 624 to 886 of the family's 1831-position model. Lineage: Eukaryota; Fungi; Chytridiomycota. The record is from RNAcentral.
AAGCUCGUAGUUGAAUUUCGGGCCUGGCUAGUCGGUUUAGCCGCAAGGCUAACACUGAUUCGGUUGGGCCUUUCCCUCUGGGGAACUAAUGUGUUCUUUACUGAAUGCGUUAGGGAUCCAGGACUGUUACUUUGAAAAAAUUAGAGUGUUUAAGACAGGCUUAUGCUUGAAUACAUUAGCAUGGAAUAACGGAAUAGGACUUUGUUUCUAUUUUGUUGGUUUUCAGGAACGAAGUAAUGAUUAAUAGGGAUAGUUGGG